Molecule: ribosomal RNA, 477 nt
Filed under: uncultured bacterium
Lineage: Bacteria
Description: bacterial SSU rRNA
Rfam family: Bacterial small subunit ribosomal RNA
Source: RNAcentral
CGCCUAACACAUGCAAGUCGCACGAGAAAGGGAGCAAUCCCCGGUACAGUGGCGCACGGGUGAGUAACACGUAGAUGACCUUCCCUGGAGUGGUGGAUAACCUGCCGAAAGGCGGGCUAAUACAGCAUGGGACCACAUGGUUUUGACCGAGUGGUGAAAGCGGGCCUCUGUUCACAAGCUCGCGCUCUGGGAUGGGUCUGCGUCCCAUCAGCUAGUUGGCGAGGUAACGGCUCACCAAGGCGAAGACGGGUAGCUGGUCUGAGAGGAUGAUCAGCCACACUGGAACUGAGACACGGUCCAGACUCCUACGGGAGGCAGCAGUGGGGAAUAUUGCGCAAUGGGCGAAAGCCUGACGCAGCCACGCCGCGUGAGCGAUGAAGGCCUUCGGGUCGUAAAGCUCUGUGGGGAGAGAAGAAUAAAGCCUGUGAAGAGCAGGCCUUGACGGUAUCUCCUUAGCAAGCACCGGCUAACUCCGUG